Pteronotus mesoamericanus is the source of this 105-nucleotide small nuclear RNA. Lineage: Eukaryota; Metazoa; Chordata; Mammalia; Chiroptera; Mormoopidae. The record is from RefSeq and is a predicted model, not a curated record.
GCUGGCUUCAGCACAACAUAUCCUUCAAUUGCUAUGACAUACAGAAGGUUAGCAUGGCCCCUGCACAAGGAUAACACACGCACUUGUGAAAUGUCCUGUAUUUUA